ACGGGGUGCAGCAGGCGCGAAAACUUCACAAUGUGGGAAACCGCGAUGAGGGGAUUCCAAGUGCCAGCACACUGUGUUGGCUGUUCACCUGCCUAAAAAGCUGGUGAAGUAAGGGCCGGGUAAGACGGGUGCCAGCCGCCGCGGUAAUACCCGCGGCCCGAGUGGUGGUCGUUGUUAUUGAGCCUAAAGCGUCCGUAGCCGGUUUGGUAAAUUUCUGGGUAAAUCGGGCGGCUUAACUGUCCGAAUUCCGGAAAGACUGCCAAACUUGGGACCGGGGGAGGUUGGAGGUACUCCUGGGGUAGGGGUGAAAUCCUGUAAUCCUGGGGGGACCACCAGUGGCGAAGGCGUCCAACCAAAACGGAUCCGACGGUAAAGGGACGAAGCCCUGGGGCGCAAACGGGAUUAGAUACCCCGGUAGUCCAGGGUGUAAACGCUGCAGGCUUGGUGUUGGGGGUCCUACGAGGGCGCCCAGUGCCGGAGAGAAGUUGUUAAGCCUGCCGCUUGGGAGUACGUCCGCAAGG
This 521-nucleotide ribosomal RNA is filed under the name uncultured archaeon. RNAcentral describes it as "bacterial SSU rRNA". It matches the Rfam family "Archaeal small subunit ribosomal RNA", at positions 325 to 848 of the family's 1478-position model. The record is from RNAcentral.